UUUUACUAGAGUCAUUGGUAAACAGUUCUGCGUCCGGCCAUAUUAAAUUCUUUUGAGCAAGAACGAGCGAUUUUUUAAUUUUUGUUUCUACGAGAAUAGCAAUAUCACAUGCGGCAGACUUGAUUAUUCUGUUGAGCUCCCGACAUUUUUCAGGCUUAUUAAGUGCACGAAUAUUCCAGCAAAUUAUCUUCAUUAGAAAAAGAAAGUAAAGUAUUCAUUCUACAA
RNAcentral lists this long non-coding RNA (225 nucleotides) under Musa acuminata (dwarf banana). RNAcentral's name for it is "long non-coding RNA (MACU_LNC008978)". The record is from RNAcentral. Lineage: Eukaryota; Viridiplantae; Streptophyta; Magnoliopsida; Zingiberales; Musaceae.